CCCUUAGAUGUUCUGGGCCGCACGCGCGUUACACUGAUGCAUUCAACGAGUCCAACCUUGACCGAGAGGUCCGGGUAAUCUUUGAAACUGCAUCGUGAUGGGGCUAGAUUAUUGCAAUUAUUAAUCUUCAACGAGGAAUGCCUAGUAAGCGUGAUUCAUCAAAUCGCGUUGAUUACGUCCCUGCCCUUUGUACACACCGCCCGUCGCUCCUACCGAUUGAGUGUGUUGGUGAGGAGUUUGGAUUGGCCUCGGAAGGUGGUUCGCCACCGUCCGUAGCUGAGAAGUUCUCCAAACCGCCCCACUUAGAGGAAGGAGAAGUCGUAACA
This 326-nucleotide ribosomal RNA is filed under the name uncultured eukaryote. RNAcentral's name for it is "partial 18S ribosomal RNA". It matches the Rfam family "Eukaryotic small subunit ribosomal RNA", at positions 1470 to 1796 of the family's 1831-position model. The record is from RNAcentral.